Molecule: long non-coding RNA, 359 nt
Filed under: Gossypium barbadense (sea-island cotton)
Lineage: Eukaryota; Viridiplantae; Streptophyta; Magnoliopsida; Malvales; Malvaceae
Description: long non-coding RNA (GBAR_LNC006798)
Source: RNAcentral
CACCUUGGAACCUAAGGGCAUUGGUGGAGGUGGCCUAGGAGGACCGAUACCGGUACUUGGAGGAGGUGGUGGGCGGGGACCAGGUUUGGCACCUGGAGGCAUAGGUGGUGGAGGAGGUCGGGGGGCCAUAGUGGCAGAAGCAGGUUUCAUAGAGGGUGGUGGUGCAGGAGGACUGGCUCUAAUUGGGGCAGCAGGUGGUGGUGGUGGAGGAGAACUAGCUCUAAUCGGGGCAGGAGGUUCUGGAGGAAGAGUAGACUUCAAAGGAGGUAAUCCAGGUUGGGAAGCACCGACCCUUCCUGGAGGCAAUGGUAGCGGUGGAAUAGUAUCAAAAGAUUCAAUUGAGGCUUUGUUGGCAGCAC